GGCGAACGGGUGAGUAACACGUGGGCAAUCUGCCCUUCACUCUGGGACAAGCCCUGGAAACGGGGUCUAAUACCGGAUACGAGUCCGGGAGGCAUCUCCCGGGCUGGAAAGCUCCGGCGGUGAAGGAUGAGCCCGCGGCCUAUCAGCUUGUUGGUGGGGUAAUGGCCUACCAAGGCGACGACGGGUAGCCGGCCUGAGAGGGCGACCGGCCACACUGGGACUGAGACACGGCCCAGACUCCUACGGGAGGCAGCAGUGGGGAAUAUUGCACAAUGGGCGAAAGCCUGAUGCAGCGACGCCGCGUGAGGGAUGACGGCCUUCGGGUUGUAAACCUCUUUCAGCAGGGAAGAAGCGCAAGUGACGGUACCUGCAGAAGAAGCGCCGGCUAACUACGUGCCGGCAGCCGCGGUAAUACGUAGGGCGCAAGCGUUGUCCGGAAUUAUUGGGCGUAAAGAGCUCGUAGGCGGCUUGUCAUGUCGGGUGUGAAAGCCCGGGGCUUAACCCCGGGUCUGCAUCCGAUACGGGCAGGCUAGAGUGUGGUAGGGGAGAUCGGAAUUCCUGGUGUAGCGGUGAAAUGCGCAGAUAUCAGGAGGAACACCGGUGGCGAAGGCGGAUCUCUGGGCCAUUACUGACGCUGAGGAGCGAAAGCGUGUGGAGCGAACAGGAUUAGAUACCCUGGUAGUCC
Molecule: ribosomal RNA, 685 nt
Filed under: uncultured bacterium
Lineage: Bacteria
Description: bacterial SSU rRNA
Rfam family: Bacterial small subunit ribosomal RNA
Source: RNAcentral